AGCGAACGUUAGCGGCGGGCCUAACACAUGCAAGUCGAACGAGAAAGCCUUCGGGCGAGUAAAGUGGCGCACGGGUGAGGAACGCGUAGGUAAUCUACCCUCUGGCGGGGGACAACACUCCGAAAGGAAUGCUAAUACCGCACGAGACCACACUCACCACGGUGAGAGGGGUAAAAGGCGCCCUUAAAGCGCCACCAGAGGAUGAGCCUGCGUCCCAUCAGCUUGUUGGUAAGGUAACGGCUUACCAAGGCGAAGACGGGUAGCUGGUCUGAGAGGAUGAUCAGCCACACUGGUACUGGAACACGGACCAGACUCCUACGGGAGGCAGCAGUGAGGAAUAUUGGGCAAUGGGCGAAAGCCUGACCCAGCCACGCCGCGUGUGUGAUGAAGGCCUUCGGGUCGUAAAGCACUGUGGGGAGAGACGAACAAGCGCAGUAGGAAAUGACUGCGCCCUGACGGUACCUCCUUAGCAAGCACCGGCUAACUCUGUGCCAGCAGCCGCGGUAAUACAGAGGGUGCAAACGUUGCUCGGAUUUACUGGGCGUAAAGCGCGUGUAGGCGGACUCGCAAGUCGGUUGUGAAAUCCCUGGGCUCAACCUAGGAACUGCAUCCGAAACUGCUUGUCUUGAGUAAUGGAGAGGGUGGCGGAAUUCCCGGUGUA
RNAcentral lists this ribosomal RNA (661 nucleotides) under uncultured bacterium. RNAcentral describes it as "bacterial SSU rRNA". It matches the Rfam family "Bacterial small subunit ribosomal RNA", at positions 28 to 677 of the family's 1533-position model. The record is from RNAcentral.